CUCACCUUUUAAAAAUUCACCCUAAAAUUCCACAUUUUUGCUAUAAAUGAGUAACCCUUGAAUCCACACAAAGAUGAACCUCAUGUGUGUCUCUCAUAAACUUCACCACACCACACUUUGUGAACCCUUUUCUUUCUCUAUCUCUUAAUUAUAUCUUCUAUUUAUUAUUAUUAUUAUUAUUAUUUUUUAAUUUUGUUGUUGUUCUUCAUUCUACAACCUCAAAGCUAAUAAGGUUCUCUUAGCUAGUGGCAAUGAAUUAAAAGGGUGCAUGCUGAGCAAGAUGGAGAAGCAGGGCACGUGCAAUACUAACUCAUGAAGAGAUCAUGAAUAAUAUGAGUGUGAAGCAAAGAAGACAAUAUCUUACAUUUUUUUUUUCUAUUUCACCAACCUAAAAAUAUUUUGUAAUAUUCAUUCUUUUCUAUUUCACAAUAUCUACUACUUUAUAACUUUGGCAUAUAUAAUAUAUAUUCAUAAUAAUAGGUAUAUAUUAGAUUAUUAUUAAUAUGCUAAAUUUCUCAAAGCCUUAAUUAUUAGGUUAAAUAUUAUGAAAAGGAGUAAAUUAAAUAGUUUUGUUAUGAGUUAGUUCUUCAUGUGCCCCUCUUCCCCAUCAUGACCUGCUGCACCUCUUAGCAUUUGGAAAUGCAAAAAGAUGGAGGCUGAUUUUUUAGUAUUUGUGAUGCUAGCUUCACUUUUUUGAAGGGGUUAAAAAUUAUUGCAGUGAAAUCUUAUUAAUGGGGGGAGAAAGAUAUCAAGAAAUGAAGACUUUGAAUUACAAGACAAAGUGUGAACUAGAAGGUAUUUUGUCUUUUAUCUAGCAUCAUAUAGCAUGUACUAUUUAAGGAAAAAUUAAAAAUGAAAAUUUUUAAAUUCUUUAAUAAUGUAUUGAAGUUUUUUAUUUUUUAUUUUUUAUUUUUUUUCUUCCGCUCCUUAAGAGAUGAUUGUAGAAUAUUUAUUAGCCAAACCCUAAUAUUUAUAAUAUCACUAUACUUAUUGCUGAUUUCCACUAUUUCACAUAUAUGCAUUAUAU
This is a non-coding RNA of Arachis ipaensis, 1027 nucleotides long. The record is from RefSeq and is a predicted model, not a curated record. Lineage: Eukaryota; Viridiplantae; Streptophyta; Magnoliopsida; Fabales; Fabaceae.